Molecule: ribosomal RNA, 497 nt
Filed under: uncultured bacterium
Lineage: Bacteria
Description: partial 16S ribosomal RNA
Rfam family: Bacterial small subunit ribosomal RNA
Source: RNAcentral
GACGAACGCUGGCGGCGUGCCUAAUACAUGCAAGUCGAGCGAUGAAGCUCGGUGCUUGCACCCAUUUGAAGAGCAGCGAACGGGUGAGUAACGCGUGGGGAAUCUGCCUUUGAGCGGGGGACAACAUUUGGAAACGAAUGCUAAUACCGCAUAACAACUUUAAACAUAAGUUUUAAGUUUGAAAGAUGCAAUUGCAUCACUCAAAGAUGAUCCCGCGUUGUAUUAGCUAGUUGGUGAGGUAAAGGCUCACCAAGGCGAUGAUACAUAGCCGACCUGGGAGGGUGAGCGGCCACAUUGGGACUGAGACACGGCCCAAAGUCCUACGGGAGGCAGCAGUAGGGAAUCUUCGGCAAUGGACGGAAGUCUGACCGAGCAACGCCGCGUGAGUGAAGAAGGUUUUCGGGUCGUAAAACUCUGUUGGUAGAGAAGAAAGUUGGUGAGAGUGGAAAGCUCAUCAAGUGACGGUAACUACCCAGAAAGGGACGGCUAACUACGUG